RNAcentral lists this ribosomal RNA (1311 nucleotides) under metagenome. RNAcentral's name for it is "bacterial LSU rRNA". It matches the Rfam family "Bacterial large subunit ribosomal RNA", at positions 1601 to 2925 of the family's 2925-position model. The record is from RNAcentral.
CAUGCUUCCAAGAAAAGCAUCUAGAGAGAGAAGUAGUGCCCGUACCGCAAACCGACACAGGUAGAUGAGGAGAGAAUCCUAAGGCCGGCGGAAGAAUUGCAGUUAAGGAACUAGGCAAAUUGACCCCGUAAGUUAGCGAGAAGGGGUGCCUGCGAGAGCAGGCCGCAGAGAAUAGGCCCAAGCAACUGUUUAGCAAAAACACAGGUCUCUGCUAAAGCGCAAGCUGAUGUAUAGGGGCUGACGCCUGCCCGGUGCUGGAAGGUUAAGGGGAACACUUAGCGCAAGCGAAGGUGUGAACUUAAGCCCCAGUAAACGGCGGCCGUAACAAUAACGGUCCUAAGGUAGCGAAAUUCCUUGUCAGGUAAGUUCUGACCCGCACGAAUGGCGUAAUGACUUGGGCACUGUCUCAACUGCAAAUCCGGCGAAGUUGUAGUGCGAGUGAAGAUGCUCGCUACCCGCGAUUGGACGGAAAGACCCCGUAGAGCUUUACUGUAGCUUAGCAUUGAAUUCCGGUAUUGUCUGUACAGGAUAGGUGGGAGACUGGGAAACUAGGGCGUCAGCCUUAGUGGAGUCGUCCUUGGGAUACCACCCUGACAGUACUGGGGUUCUAACAGGACGCCAUGAAUCUGGUGACUGGACAUUGUUAGGUGGGCAGUUUGACUGGGGCGGUCGCCUCCUAAAAAGUAACGGAGGCGCCCAAAGGUUCCCUCAGAACGGUCGGAAAUCGUUCGUAGAGUGCAAAGGCAGAAGGGAGCCUGACUGCGAGACCUACAAGUCGAGCAGGGACGAAAGUCGGGCUUAGUGAUCCGGUGGUACCUCGUGGGAGGGCCAUCGCUCAACGGAUAAAAGCUACCUCGGGGAUAACAGGCUGAUCUCCCCCAAGAGUCCACAUCGACGGGGAGGUUUGGCACCUCAAUGUCGGCUCGUCGCAUCCUGGGGCUGUAGUAGGUCCCAAGGGUUGGGCUGUUCGCCCAUUAAAGCGGCACGCGAGCUGGGUUCAGAACGUCGUGAGACAGUUCGGUCCCUAUCCGUCGCGGGCGUAGGAAAUUUGAGAGGAGCUGUCCUUAGUACGAGAGGACCGGGAUGGACUGACCUCUGGUGCACCAGUUGUUCUGCCAAGAGCAUGGCUGGGUAGCUAAGUCGGGAAGGGAUAAACGCUGAAAGCAUCUAAGCGUGAAGCCUCCCUCAAGAUGAGAUUUCCCAUAGCAUAAGCUAGUAAGACCCCUUGAAGAACACGAGGUUGAUAGGUCAGAGGUGUAAGUAUGGUAACAUAUUUAGCUGACUGAUACUAAUAGGUCGAGGGCUUGACCU